This 1714-nucleotide small RNA is filed under the name Pan troglodytes (chimpanzee). RNAcentral describes it as "retained intron". The record is from RNAcentral. Lineage: Eukaryota; Metazoa; Chordata; Mammalia; Primates; Hominidae.
CCAUGUUGGCCAGGCUGGUCUGAGAGAGAACUCCUGACCUCGUGAUCCGCCUGCCUCAGCCUCCCAAAGUGCUGGGAUGACAGGCGUGCGCCACUGCACCCAGCCCGUGAAGGUCUUUUCUGAAGGGAGCUACCUUUGAGAAGUGCCUGUUGGGACAGAACUCCCUGCUCUGGUCUGACCCUCUGCAUGCUAGGGUGGUCCUGCACCUGUCGGGGAGGGGGCCAAGGACACAGCACAGGGCUGGGGCAGGGCUCUGCGCUGGUGCUGCCUGCCAUCCCAGUUCUGCCAUUCCCCCAGCGCACCCCCCCACCCGCCCCUCCAGCUGAUGCCUGCUCCCUCUCUCUGCAGAACGGGCUCAUGUCGGGGCUGAUGCAGAUGCUGCUGCUGAAGGUGUCUGCGCACAUCACCGAGCAGCUGGGCAUGGCCCCAGGCGGCGAGUUCAGGGAGGCCUUCAAGGAGGUGGGCACAGGGCGAGGUAGGGGGUGGCCACAGGGAUGUGGCUCACAGGGGUGGUCCGGAGUUCCCACUGCUCCCCAACACCCAGCCUCUGCUCCAGGCCAGCAAGGUGCCUUUCUGCAAGUUCCACCUGGGUGACCGGCCCAUCCCCGUCACCUUCAAGAGGGCCAUCGCAGCGCUCUCUUUCUGGCAGAAGGUCAGGCUGGCUUGGGGCCUGUGCUUCCUGUCAGACCCCAUCAGGUAGGGCUGCCCGCGGGACCCUGGGCGACCUCUUGUCAGACCCCAUCAGGUAGGGCUGCCCCGGGGACCCCGGCCGGCCUGCAGGGUGGUCUGUGGGAGGCUCCAGGCCCUCCUGUGCAGGUCCAAGCGCAGCCAAUCCUCACUCAAGGCCUUCCCUGCCCUUUCCUUCCGCCACAAAUCCCAAACAAACGUGCUGUGGUCCCUGCCCGGUGUCCACAGUGCCAGCCCCCCCCCCGCCCCCAGCCCGUUGCCCAUCCCUGCGGGGCUGCAGCCAUCCCUCUCCACAGCAAGGAUGACGUGGAACGCUGCAAGCAGAAGGACCUACUGGAGCAGAUGAUGGCCGAGAUGAUUGGCGAGUUCCCGGACCUGCACCGCACCAUCGUCUCGGAGCGCGACGUCUACCUAACCUACAUGCUGCGCCAGGCCGCGCGGCGCCUCGAGCUGCCUCGGGCCUCUGACGGUGACGGCCGCCCGCAGGCGUGGGACCCCCUGUGAGGCUGAGGCCCGAGCAGGUACUGACCCCUUGUCCUUCCCCACAGCCGAGCCCAGGAAGUGCGUCCCCUCCGUGGUCGUGGGCGUCGUGGGCAUGGGCCACGUGCCUGGCAUCGAGAAGAACUGGAGCACCGACCUCAACAUCCAGGAGAUCAUGACCGUGCCCCCGCCGUCCGUCUCCGGCAGAGUGUCUCGGUUGGCCGUGAAGGCCGCCUUCUUCGGCCUGCUGGGCUACAGCCUGUACUGGAUGGGCCGCCGCACUGCGAGCCUGGUCCUGUCGCUGCCCGCCGCGCAGUACUGCCUGCAGAGGGUGACCGAGGCCCGGCACAAGUAGGAGACUGCUCCCCGCCCGCUCGGGCCCCUGAGGAGCCAGUGCCCCCGCGGCACUUCUGGGUGCCAGGUGCAUCCUAGCCUGCCCGAGGCCCCUGCCACCCCCCAUGGGGGUCUGGGCCCGGCUUCGCCUGCCUUCCUGGGCCAGUCACCCCUCCCCCAGCCCACCCAAAUAAAGGAUUAUUUAACUGUCUGA